GCCAUUUAAAUAGAUCACUAUGUCUAUGAAUUAGCAGUUUGAAUGACUUAAAUAUUUAAUUAAACUAUUUAGUUAUAUAUUAUAUAAAUAUAGCGCAAAAUUCAGUGCGUAAUUAGUUUCAUGCACCAAAGACAAAUCGAAGGUUUCACCUUUCUAGAAGAGACACGUUUCAUUUAGCUGUGCCGUGGUGCAAGUGUAAAGUUUCUUGACUUUUCGCAUGCUUUGAAAAGAUCUAAACUGAAUGAGAGUUUUGAGAUGCAAUAGAACGACAAAUUACUUUUCAUACUAGACAAGAAAAGCGAAAUUUAUAGUAGCAGUGGUCCUGGCCAGGAAGAAAAAUCAUGACUUGUAUUUUCCCGAUAGUCCUUAAUGCCGCGUUUAUAACUACGACUACAGAUAUAGUUGGACAUCAUGCACGUAUGGUCUGUUAAUACAAACGUACGUUUGUUCUUAUUUCCCAGUAUAGUUGCGUUCAUGCACAUGCACAUAUAUGUCUGCAAAUUAAUACACUGAAACGGGCUAUAUAGCCUAUAUAGGUACAGUACUCUUUUUCGUCACAAGCCAUUCGCAUCAUAUUACGACCCAAUCGUUCUAGUAUAAAUAUCUCGGCGAGUAUUGACCCCCCUUUUAAAUAAAACCCACCAUUGAAAUCCUCACAAAAUAGGCAUGUUGUAAAAGACGGACUGGACUGGACUGGACCGGACUGGACUGGACUGGGAAAACGCGGACUGAGUCCGUGUUUUACAAAUCGCGGACUGAAUUUGUAAAACACGGACUGGACUGGACCGGGAAAACACGGACUGAGUCCGUGUUUUACAAAUCGCGAACUAAGAUUUGUAAAACGCGGACUGAGUCCGUGUUUUACAAAUCGCGGGUUGCAAUUUGUAAAAGGCGGAC
Non-coding RNA from Paramuricea clavata, 897 nucleotides. NCBI's taxonomy places the organism in Eukaryota, Metazoa, Cnidaria, Anthozoa, Malacalcyonacea, Plexauridae. The record is from the annotation of a GenBank genome assembly.